AGAGUUUGAUCAUGGCUCAGGACGAACGCUGGCGGCGUGCUUAACACAUGCAAGUCGAACGGGCGUAGCGAUACGUCAGUGGCGGACGGGUGAGUAACGCGUGAACAAUCUGCCUCAUACAGGGGGAUAACACUGAGAAAUCAGUGCUAAUACCGCAUAAGACCACAAGAUCGCAUGGUUUAGUGGUAAAAGGGAUUACCGGUAUGAGAUGAGUUCGCGUCCCAUUAGGUAGUUGGCGGGGUAACGGCCCACCAAGCCUGCGAUGGGUAGCCGACCUGAGAGGGUGGCCGGCCACACUGGAACUGAGACACGGUCCAGACUCCUACGGGAGGCAGCAGUGGGGAAUAUUGGGCAAUGGAGGAAACUCUGACCCAGCAACGCCGCGUGAGUGAAGAAGGUCUUCGGAUUGUAAAGCUCUGUGGGCAGGGAAGAAGACAGUGACAGUACCUGCACAGCAAGCCACGGCCAACUACGUGCCAGCAGCCGCGGUAAUACGUAGGUGGCGAGCGUUGUCCGGAAUGACUGGGCGUAAAGGGUGCGUAGGCGGCCGAUCAAGUUAGUAGUGAAAUACCCGGGCUCAACUUGGGUGCUACUACUAAGACUGAUUGGCUUGAGUGUGGGAGAGGUAAGUGGAAUUCCUAGUGUAGCGGUGGAAUGCGUAGAUAUUAGGAGGAACACCGGCGGCGAAGGCGGCUUACUGGACCACAACUGACGCUGAGGCACGAAAGCGUGGGGAGCAAACAGGAUUAGAUACCCUGGUAGUCCACGCCGUAAACGAUGGAUACUAGGUGUAGGGGGUUUCGACGCCCUCUGUGCCGUCGCAAACGCAAUAAGUAUCCCGCCUGGGGAGUACGGCCGCAAGGUUAAAACUCAAAGGAAUUGACGGGGACCCGCACAAGCAGCGGAGCAUGUGGUUUAAUUCGAAGCAACGCGAAGAACCUUACCAAGGCUUGACAUCCCCUGCAUAGGAUGGAAACAUCUGAAAUCGUAGCAAUACGACAGGGAGACAGGUGGUGCAUGGUCGUCGUCAGCUCGUGUCGUGAGAUGUUGGGUUAAGUCCCGCAACGAGCGCAACCCUUGUGGAUAGUUGCCAUCAUUAAGUUGGGCACUCUAUUCAGACUGCCGUGGACAACACGGAGGAAGGUGGGGAUGACGUCAGAUCAUCACGCCCCUUACGUCUUGGGCUACACACGUGCUACAAUGGUCGUUACAGAGAGAAGCGAACCGGCAACGGGGAGCAAAUCUCAAAAAAGCGAUCCCAGUUCAGAUUGUGGGCUGCAACUCGCCCACAUGAAGGCGGAGUUGCUAGUAAUCGCGAAUCAGCAUGUCGCGGUGAAUGCGUUCCCGGGUCUUGUACACACCGCCCGUCACGCCAUGGGAGCCGGGAGUACCCGAAGUCAGUGACCUAACCGCAAGGAAGGAGCUGCCGAAGGUAAGACCGGUGACUGGGGUGAAGUCGUAACAAGGUAGCC
RNAcentral lists this ribosomal RNA (1472 nucleotides) under uncultured bacterium. Its description in RNAcentral is "bacterial SSU rRNA". It matches the Rfam family "Bacterial small subunit ribosomal RNA". The record is from RNAcentral.